This 459-nucleotide ribosomal RNA is filed under the name uncultured bacterium. RNAcentral describes it as "partial 16S ribosomal RNA". It matches the Rfam family "Bacterial small subunit ribosomal RNA", at positions 338 to 795 of the family's 1533-position model. The record is from RNAcentral.
CCUACGGGAGGCAGCAGUGAGGAAUAUUGGUCAAUGGGAGAGAUCCUGAACCAGCCAAGCCGCGUGAGGGAAGACGGCCCUAUGGGUUGUAAAUCUCUUUUGUCGGAGAGCAAAACCCGUGACGAGUUCCGUACUGCGUGUGUCCGGACAAAAAGCAUCGGCUAACUCCGUGCCAGCAGCCGCGGUAAUACGGAGGAUGCGAUCGUUAGCCGGAUUUAUUGGGUUUAAAGGGUGCGUAGGCGGUCUGUUAAGUCAGCGGUAAAAUUGCGGGGCUCAACCCCGUCGAGCCGUUGAAACUGGGAGACUAGAGUAGGAGAGAGGUAAGCGGAAUGAGAGGUGUAGCGGUGAAAUGCAUAGAUAUCGCGAAGAACGCCGAUUGCGAAGGCAGCGUACCGGCGCCAGACUGACACUGAGGCACGAAAGCGUGGGGAUCGAACAGGAUUAGAUACCCGGGUAGUC